Cucumis melo (muskmelon) is the source of this 670-nucleotide long non-coding RNA. RefSeq lists it as uncharacterized. Lineage: Eukaryota; Viridiplantae; Streptophyta; Magnoliopsida; Cucurbitales; Cucurbitaceae. The record is from RefSeq and is a predicted model, not a curated record. The transcript is spliced from 2 exons.
UGUUAGUUUUCUUACAUGAUGGUUCAACUUUAAUGAAUAUGGAUCACGUUUAGUUUUUUGUAUGCCCGUGGGUUGUUUCAUUUUUUUUUUCUUAGGUGAAAAUUUUGGUUUUUUCAUUAAAAGAAAAGAAAAAAAAAAAAAAAAAAACUUUCUGCCAAUGGCUUAUCUGCUAAAUAAUCAAUGAGAUGGGUUCUUGAAUAUAUUUUUCAGAAGCAAAUCUACAACAGCUAGUUUCCAACGAAUAAUGAAAGUUGCGCUUUUCAUAAAAAAGAAAAAAUAAAGAAUUUGCAUAACAGUAUCAGAUUGUCAAUGGUCAAAUAGAUGACUUCUUCUAUUUGAAGUUAAAAGUUUCUUUUUCUUUUUUAAAUAAAACAUCACACUUACAACAAGAAAGAAAAAAAAUACAUAUGUCUAAUAAAAAAAGAGCCUAUAAUAAGUUUAUGUUUGGGGGUAGAGUUGUAAGAUGAAGUUUCUCGAUAAAUGUAAAAAGUAUAGAAAGAGGGAAAAAUAGAGUUGUUCGACAAAUGUGAGAAGUAGGGAUAGAAAGAAAGAUAAAGUUCUUUGACAAAUAUGAAAAAAAGUAGAAAAAGAGGGGGAAAUUAAGUUACUCUAAAAAUGUGUUUACAUCAACUUAAAAAGUUGGUGGGUCAAACGGCCUCUUAGAGUGUAA